GGUCGUAUAGUGUAGUGGUUAUCACCCCGGAUUUUGAUUCCGGUGACCCCGGUUCGACUCCGGGUAUGACCA
This 72-nucleotide transfer RNA is filed under the name Endocarpon pusillum Z07020. RNAcentral's name for it is "tRNA-Gln (TTG) (tRNA-Gln-TTG-1-1)". It matches the Rfam family "tRNA". Rfam says of the family: Transfer RNA (tRNA) molecules are approximately 80 nucleotides in length. Their secondary structure includes four short double-helical elements and three loops (D, anti-codon, and T loops). Lineage: Eukaryota; Fungi; Ascomycota; Eurotiomycetes; Verrucariales; Verrucariaceae. The record is from RNAcentral.